RNAcentral lists this transfer RNA (69 nucleotides) under Nabis apicalis. RNAcentral's name for it is "tRNA-Val". The record is from RNAcentral. Lineage: Eukaryota; Metazoa; Arthropoda; Insecta; Hemiptera; Nabidae.
CAAGCUAUAUUCAUAGGUAAUAAUAUUAUUUACAUUAAUAUAAGAGUUGUGCGAUUCGACUUAGCUUGA